GAUGAACGCUGGCGGCGUGCCUAACACAUGCAAGUCGAGCGAAGCACUUACUUUAGAUUUCUUCGGAAUGACGAAGUUUGUGACUGAGCGGCGGACGGGUGAGUAACGCGUGGGCAACCUGCCCUGUACAGGGGGAUAACAGUUAGAAAUGACUGCUAAUACCGCAUAAGCCCACAGCUUCGCAUGAAGCAGUGGGAAAAACUCCGGUGGUACAGGAUGGGCCCGCGUCUGAUUAGCUAGUUGGUAAGGUAACGGCUUACCAAGGCGACGAUCAGUAGCCGACCGGAGAGGGUGACCGGCCACAUUGGGACUGAGACACGGCCCAAACUCCGACGGGAGGCAGCAGUGGGGAAUAUUGCACAAUGGGGAAACCCUGAUGCAGCGACGCCGCGUGAGCGAUGAAGUAUUUCGGUAUGUAAAGCUCUAUCAGCAGGGAAGAAAGUGACGGUACCUGACUAAGAAGCCCCGGCUAACUACGUG
Molecule: ribosomal RNA, 480 nt
Filed under: uncultured bacterium
Lineage: Bacteria
Description: partial 16S ribosomal RNA
Rfam family: Bacterial small subunit ribosomal RNA
Source: RNAcentral